UGCACAAAGUGCCAUGUUGAUUUGCAAAUUGUGUGAAAAGCUGAAAACGUGUUUUGGAGAUUUGAGUGUCAAUUAAAAUAAUUGUGCUUUAUGUAGCAUUUUAGUGUGAUAGCAAUCGAGAAAAACGGUAAAAGGUUUGGCAGAGUGCUAUGAUAGGCUCUUGGGAAUAGAGCGAAGUGAUUGGUUAAACUGGAGAGUGACGCCCCCGAUCACUUAUUGAGAAGAGAGAGAGUAAGUUACAUGGGAAUAGUAAAUGAAGAGUAAAGAUGGUCUUCCUGGUUGAACUUACGCUGAGCUUCAUGCUUAGCAUUUUUAAUGGCAGUGUUUUGAAAAUGGCAAACAAGUGAAUAUGUCAGAUUUCUGUGUCUUACUUAGAGAACCGUGUUUUGCGAAAAGUGCCAAGUUGAUUUGCAAAUUGGGUGCAGAGCUGAAAAUGUGUUUAGAGUUUUGUAGAUUUGAGCUGAGGUUUUGCUCUUUGAGUCUGAGUUUAAAUAAUUAUGCUUUAUGUGAGAUUGUUGUGUAACUGAAAAAACUGUAAGUUCAAUGGUAUGUAGUCGGGUAUGUAGUUUUGGGUGCAGUUAGUCAUUCUGCAAAAUGUAUGAGGUGUUUUGCACUUUGGGUGUGUGGUUUUGUGAAUUGUGUAAAGUGUUUUGAGAAAAUGAGCCGUGUUUUCAAAAACUUGUGUUAGCAAUUGUAAAGUGAGAUGAUGCUGAGAUGAUGCUGAUAGUUCAACUUUGCAUACUACCCUACAAUGAAAUGACAGUGUGCCACAUUUCUUGGAAAACUGUUUUUGUUUUUAGUACAACUUGUGCGUUACAUGUAUUUACCAAAUUUCAAAGUGAAUUAUUAACAAUGGAUCGAUUACAUUGCUCAACCAGUCCAAAUAAAAAGGAAGCUGGUUGAGCAGAUCAGAUCAGAAGAAUCAACAACGCAGUGGGGCAAUACAAGAGAUUUGUGAACAGGCACGUGAAAACCAUAGACUGUACAUAUAAAAGUGAAAACAUGAGGACUGUGAUUCUCGCUCUGAUGGUGUUGGUGGGGGUCAGCCAGGGAGAGAUAUUGGUGUGUAGCUGUGGAGGCACCUCAAAGAUAUGUUUACGUGGGGGGGAACCCUGCGGUUUGAAUCAAGUCUGUUCCAGCUUUCUUGUUGUGGUUCAAUCCCGUGUCACUUUCUUCAGCACCUGCAUGACUGCAAAUGCCUGCAGGCUUCUGUGUGACACUCAUGCUGUGUAGUAUUUCCUUAAUAAAGAUCAAUCAGUUGCAGCAA
Gymnodraco acuticeps is the source of this 1267-nucleotide long non-coding RNA. RefSeq lists it as uncharacterized. NCBI's taxonomy places the organism in Eukaryota, Metazoa, Chordata, Actinopteri, Perciformes, Bathydraconidae. The transcript is spliced from 4 exons. The record is from RefSeq and is a predicted model, not a curated record.